Molecule: ribosomal RNA, 861 nt
Filed under: Pseudomonas sp. THA1.6
Lineage: Bacteria; Pseudomonadati; Pseudomonadota; Gammaproteobacteria; Pseudomonadales; Pseudomonadaceae
Description: bacterial SSU rRNA
Rfam family: Bacterial small subunit ribosomal RNA
Source: RNAcentral
UGCAGUCGAGCGGUAGAGAGAAGCUUGCUUCUCUUGAGAGCGGCGGACGGGUGAGUAAUGCCUAGGAAUCUGCCUGGUAGUGGGGGAUAACGUUCGGAAACGGACGCUAAUACCGCAUACGUCCUACGGGAGAAAGCAGGGGACCUUCGGGCCUUGCGCUAUCAGAUGAGCCUAGGUCGGAUUAGCUAGUUGGUGAGGUAAUGGCUCACCAAGGCGACGAUCCGUAACUGGUCUGAGAGGAUGAUCAGUCACACUGGAACUGAGACACGGUCCAGACUCCUACGGGAGGCAGCAGUGGGGAAUAUUGGACAAUGGGCGAAAGCCUGAUCCAGCCAUGCCGCGUGUGUGAAGAAGGUCUUCGGAUUGUAAAGCACUUUAAGUUGGGAGGAAGGGCAGUUGCCUAAUACGUAACUGUUUUGACGUUACCGACAGAAUAAGCACCGGCUAACUCUGUGCCAGCAGCCGCGGUAAUACAGAGGGUGCAAGCGUUAAUCGGAAUUACUGGGCGUAAAGCGCGCGUAGGUGGUUUGUUAAGUUGGAUGUGAAAUCCCCGGGCUCAACCUGGGAACUGCAUUCAAAACUGACUGACUAGAGUAUGGUAGAGGGUGGUGGAAUUUCCUGUGUAGCGGUGAAAUGCGUAGAUAUAGGAAGGAACACCAGUGGCGAAGGCGACCACCUGGACUAAUACUGACACUGAGGUGCGAAAGCGUGGGGAGCAAACAGGAUUAGAUACCCUGGUAGUCCACGCCGUAAACGAUGUCAACUAGCCGUUGGAAGCCUUGAGCUUUUAGUGGCGCAGCUAACGCAUUAAGUUGACCGCCUGGGGAGUACGGCCGCAAGGUUAAAACUCAAAUGAAUUGA